UACUGCAUUUUUUCUUACACAUGUGUUUUUCUUUUUUUGAAAACUUUGCUUUGGUAGGCUACUAUAUGGGGCCUGCCAGAGAUUAAACUCAACCAAAUUUUAUUUAAUGUCAACCGAUUAUUUAAUAGUCAAAACUUUCAACAACGGAUCUCUUGGUUCUCGCAUCGAUGAAGAACGCAGCGAAAUGCGAUAAGUAAUAUGAAUUGCAGAUAUUCGUGAAUCAUCGAAUCUUUGAACGCACAUUGCGCCCUUUGGUAUUCCAAAGGGCAUGCCUGUUUGAGCGUCAUUUCUCCCUCAAACCCUCGGGUUUGGUGUUGAGCGAUACGCUGGGUUUGCUUGAAAGAAAGGCGGAGUAUAAACUAAUGGAUAGGUUUUUUCCACUCAUUGGUACAAACUCCAAAACUUCUUCCAAAUUCGACCUCAAAUCAGGUAGGACUACCCGCUGAACUUAAGCAUAUCAAUAAGCGGAGG
RNAcentral lists this ribosomal RNA (471 nucleotides) under Lodderomyces parapsilosis. Its description in RNAcentral is "eukaryotic LSU rRNA". The stretch from base 133 to 286 matches the Rfam family "5.8S ribosomal RNA". Lineage: Eukaryota; Fungi; Ascomycota; Pichiomycetes; Serinales; Debaryomycetaceae. The record is from RNAcentral.